RNAcentral lists this ribosomal RNA (439 nucleotides) under uncultured bacterium. Its description in RNAcentral is "partial 16S ribosomal RNA". It matches the Rfam family "Bacterial small subunit ribosomal RNA", at positions 338 to 795 of the family's 1533-position model. The record is from RNAcentral.
CCUACGGGAGGCAGCAGUGGGGAAUAUUGCACAAUGGGGGAAACCCUGAUGCAGCGACGCCGCGUGAGUGAAGAAGUAAUUCGUUAUGUAAAGCUCUAUCAGCAGGGAAGAAAAUGACGGUACCUGAGUAAGAAGCCCCGGCUAACUACGUGCCAGCAGCCGCGGUAAUACGUAGGUGGCAAGCGUUGUCCGGAAUUACUGGGUGUAAAGGGAGCGUAGGCGGGAAGAAAAGUUGAAUGUUUAAACUAUCGGCUCAACCGAUAAUCGCGUUUAAAACUGUUUUUCUUGAGUGAAGUAGAGGCAGGCGGAAUGCCUAGUGUAGCGGUGAAAUGCGUAGAUAUUAGGAGGAACACCAGUGGCGAAGGCGGCCCGCUGGGCUUUAACUGACGCUGAGGCUCGAAAGCGUGGGUAGCAAACAGGAUUAGAUACCCGGGUAGUC